RNAcentral lists this ribosomal RNA (402 nucleotides) under uncultured Ruminococcus sp. Its description in RNAcentral is "bacterial SSU rRNA". It matches the Rfam family "Bacterial small subunit ribosomal RNA", at positions 355 to 774 of the family's 1533-position model. The record is from RNAcentral. Lineage: Bacteria; Bacillati; Bacillota; Clostridia; Eubacteriales; Oscillospiraceae.
UGGGGGAUAUUGCACAAUGGAGGAAACUCUGAUGCAGCAACGCCGCGUGAGGGAAGACGGUUUUCGGAUUGUAAACCUCUGUCCUUGGUGAAGAUAAUGACGGUAGCCAAGGAGGAAGCUCCGGCUAACUACGUGCCAGCAGCCGCGGUAAUACGUAGGGAGCAAGCGUUGUCCGGAUUUACUGGGUGUAAAGGGUGCGUAGGCGGCUUUACAAGUCAGGCGUGAAAUAUAUGGGCUUAACCCAUAGACUGCGUUUGAAACUGUAGAGCUUGAGUGAAGUAGAGGUAGGCGGAAUUCCCGGUGUAGCGGUGAAAUGCGUAGAGAUCGGGAGGAACACCAGUGGCGAAGGCGGCCUACUGGGCUUUAACUGACGCUGAGGCACGAAAGCAUGGGUAGCAAACA